UGGGGAAUAUUGCGCAAUGGGGGGAACCCUGACGCAGCCAUGCCGCGUGAAUGAAGAAGGCCUUCGGGUUGUAAAGUUCUUUCGGUAUUGAGGAAGGUUGAUGUGAUAAUAGCACAUCAAAUUGGCGUUAAAUACAGAAGAAGCACCGGCUAACUCCGUGCCAGCAGCCGCGGUAAUACGGAGGGUGCGAGCGUUAAUCGGAAUAACUGGGCGUAAAGGGCACGCAGGCGGUUAUUUAAGUGAGGUGUGAAAGCCCUGGGCUUAACCUAGGAAUUGCAUUUCAGACUGGGUAACUAGAGUACUUUAGGGAGGGGUAGAAUUCCACGUGUAGCGGUGAAAUGCGUAGAGAUGUGGAGGAAUACCGAAGGCGAAGGCAGCCCCUUGGGAAUGUACUGACGCUCAUGUGCGAAAGCGUGGGGAGCAAACAGGAUUAGAUACCCUGGUAGUCCCCGCUGUAAACCCUGUCGAUUUGGGGGUUGGGGUUUAACUUUGGCGCCCGUAGCUAACGUGAUAAAUCGACCGCCUGGGGAGUACGGCCGCAAGGUUA
Molecule: ribosomal RNA, 547 nt
Filed under: uncultured bacterium
Lineage: Bacteria
Description: bacterial SSU rRNA
Rfam family: Bacterial small subunit ribosomal RNA
Source: RNAcentral